CUAAUUUCCUGAAUUUAUUUAGAGUAGUGGCUCAAUAUAAUUCGAAGAAUUAAGGCCCAGAUUCAAAGCAGUGGCCCAAUUCCUUUAUUCUCUUCUUUUCUUUUUCUCUCUUUUUUUUUAAAAAAAGCCCGAUUAAUAUUUUGGCCCAAUUAAUAGAAUAAGCUCAAUUAAUCAUUAAUUUAGGGAGGCCCUAAAUUCAAUUAAUUUGUGACCCAAAAGGAAUUUAUUUGCAUUGGCCCAAAAAAAUAUUGGCCCAAAUACUACACUCCCAGUCUGUCAGCUGCCUCUCUCUCAUCUCUUCACCAAAUUGAAUUUUUUUCUCCCCCAAAUUAAAUCUCAAACCCUAACUUCUCCAUCUCUCUCCCUCCUCUCGAUAACAUUGCAGGCUGCCGCCCCUGCCGCGCCUCACAGAGGCGUCCGCCGUCUCCGACGCCACCUUCUUCCUCAGUGAAACGACCGCUGGCCGUCGUUCACCACCGUACCCAGCCGGCGCCGCGGCUGUGUAACCGUCUGCCUCGCCGUCCCGGUGCCAUCGGAGCAGAGAAGAGGGGCGUCGCCUCUCGGGGAAAACGCCGUCGGGUUGGACUCGGGCUGCUGUCCGGCGUGAUUCGAGGCGCAUGCUUCGACAGCGGCUUCGCCGCCUCUCCUUCGCGACGCAGCAGCUAAGUCCUUAACUUAGCUCGUUUAUGUUUUCCUUAGACGAAACCGGUUCUUAUAACACGAUUUACAAAUGGGCAGAUUAUUGUGUUUCUCUUAUGAGCUUCAAACUAGAGACUGAACUGCAAAAUCUUAAGCAUAUUGCCCAGUUAUAUUAUGCUCGUUUCAGUAUAUCCCUAUAAGGCAUUUGAAAAGAACUUUAGUCGAUUCUGGAGCUACUGGUUGUUGCUACUAUUUCUAGUGUUCCUACAGUUAUAGAUUCUACUUGAUGAUGUUUCUGUCUGUGAUGAUUCUUAAUUGAUGCAAAGGGUAAUGGUCUUACCUCUUGUCUGCACUGAUAAGCACUUGAGAUUGCUACUUGUUCCUGUAACUGCUGUGUUGCUGAAUUCCUUUAAUGGUAUGUGCAUGGGAUUUGGUAAGUAUGGAGGGGCUGCCUUUAUAGAUGAGAGUGUGUACUCGUGAGGUUCUGAUUUGGGUUGUUUUUAAUCUUGCAGCAACUUUAACUGCAUUUGUCUCCUUGUGUUGCUAGUACUUUAGUUAAUAAUGGCUUGUUUGUUGUGGCAGAAAAGGAGCCCUUGUUUGGUUGUGUAACUGAAAGCUGCAGGGUUGUUGCUUUGUGCCAGGAAAAGAGAUCUCUAGUUUGCUUAUACAUUGGCUGACCUCCUGCAAAUUCUGUUGCUUGCUGGUGUUGCAGAGUGUACCGUUAGAGGCUGCAACAAUUUGUUAGGGACAGAGGUGCAGGGCUGUUGUGGUCGUGGCCUUUCCUUGGCUCGUAGCCGCUGUACAAGGGCUGGAAAUGUAGGUUGCUGCAACCUCUACAGACUGCCCCAUUUGUUGGCUAACCAUCUCAAGCGACCAGCACACCGUCUCGGCCCAACUCCCGUCGGUAGUCGAGCCGACGGCCGGUGCUAAAAGUGCCGGAGCUAGCUCUCUUUCCCCCCUCGUAGUGUAAUAGAGUAGCUCCAUUUGUGAACAUUCUUUCUUCCCCAUGUAAUAGUUUGUUGACGUGUAUCUCGCUUGUCUUUAUUUUAAAUCGUCAAGCAUUUUGUAAUUCAUUAGCUUGAAAUUCUUUAUACUGUAUUUAUUUUUAUUCAAGAAAUAAAAAUACUCUUUCAUUCUUCAUAAA
This is a long non-coding RNA of Salvia splendens (bonfire salvia), 1783 nucleotides long. RefSeq lists it as uncharacterized. The record is from RefSeq and is a predicted model, not a curated record. The transcript is spliced from 2 exons. NCBI's taxonomy places the organism in Eukaryota, Viridiplantae, Streptophyta, Magnoliopsida, Lamiales, Lamiaceae.